Heligmosomoides polygyrus is the source of this 75-nucleotide non-coding RNA. NCBI's taxonomy places the organism in Eukaryota, Metazoa, Nematoda, Chromadorea, Rhabditida, Heligmosomidae. The record is from Rfam.
GCGCCGGUGGUGUAAUGGCGUAGAGCAUUCCCGCCUGGUCAGAGGGAGGUGCGGGUUCGAGUCCCGCCCGGCGCU